GGGAAGUCAUGAUAAUGAGUUCACCCAGACCAGAUUAGUUUACCAGGGGAGUUCUCUUGUUUGGCCCUUCCGGAUAUUUGCGCCGUUUGCUAUUAUGCGCUGUACGAAGGGCGAGGGGAGCGCACGUUAAGUCAGAUGCAGUGUGGGAGUGGUGGUCUUCGACUCUCUUCUUCGUCCCCCUUCGCUAGAUGGCUUAUAUUGCGCCAUUCUUGCACCAAAUUGUUCGUUGGAGGGCUUUGUUAUGAUACCAAUGAAAGUGUUCUCAAGGAUGCUUUUGGACAGCACGGUGAAAUAAUUGAAGCAGUGAAAGUUAUAUGUGAUCACGUGACCGGAAAAUCAAAAGGAUAUGGGUUUGUGCAGUUCAAUUCUGAGACUGCAGCUGGCACAGCCUUGAGGGAAAUGGAUGGCCAGUUAUUGGAUGGCAGAUGUAUACGCAUUCAAUAUGGACGCAAGGGGUGACCACAAGGAACUGAGGUUUGAUUCAAUACUUAAGUAGUUUGAGUUCUGUUUUUUACUUAGGUGGUUCACUCACUUCCCACAAGCAAUUCUUGAUGAGUAGCUCAAUUGUUAGUGAUUGGCGAACUUAAGCUAAAUACAAAUGGUUGUUCUAAGGGAGACCCCGGCAGGCAGGAUAUGAGGGACUUUUGAGGUGCGAGACAGGCACUUGGUUAUGGGGCUACCAUGGCAAAUUGGGCCACUGCACAAGUCUGGAAGCAGAAAUUUGGGCAAUAUAUACCAAUGUGGAAAUUGAAACUGAUUCAGAACAAGCCAUGCACCAAAUUCAACAUGGUCCAAAUCCAAAUUCUCCUCUCAAGGCUCUCAUUGAAAUGCUAAAUUUCUCCUCCAGAGGUGUCACUGCUCACUGCUCCAUACAUUGAGAGAGGGAAACAAAGUUGCUGAUAGGUUUGCUAAUCUGGGAGUAGCUCAAGAAGAACAUGUAAUGAUUCUUGAGGAUCCACCUGAUGAAGUCACAGCUCUUCUCAUAGAUGACACAACUGUAGUGAGGGACUUACCCUCUAGAUGUUGUUUUGAACUCCUUUUCUGCUUGUUUGCUUUAAUUUCCUUUGAAUAAAAAAAAAUGAAAAAGAAAAAGAAA
Camellia sinensis is the source of this 1096-nucleotide non-coding RNA. NCBI's taxonomy places the organism in Eukaryota, Viridiplantae, Streptophyta, Magnoliopsida, Ericales, Theaceae. The record is from RefSeq and is a predicted model, not a curated record.